Molecule: unclassified non-coding RNA, 600 nt
Filed under: Hevea brasiliensis (rubber tree)
Lineage: Eukaryota; Viridiplantae; Streptophyta; Magnoliopsida; Malpighiales; Euphorbiaceae
Source: RNAcentral
GUUCCUUUUGCUAUUCAUUUUCUUUUCUCAGUUGGCUGUUUAGGAAUGAGUGAAUUCUUUUAUGAAACACUUGUUAUGUAAGGUAUUUUUCUUAGGAUUAGGGAAUUUAUUAGGCUUAUUUAGUUAAAUAUUAUCUUUGAAAUGGCAAACUACAUUCAAUGGGAAGAAAAUUCACGAGCUUGUGUUAACAUAGCGAUUUUUUUGAUGUGUGUGGCUAUCAGCAAAAAGCACAUGCAUUGCUAUGUCCAUUGUCCACUUUAUCUGUCGCCCAUGUUUCUUACUCCUUUUUGGUUUUCUAUCACUUUCCCUCUCUUGUUUGCUAAGAAAAGAGAAAAAAAGACAAUUUUAAAGGACUCCAAAGGUGUGCUAUCCUACGCAGAAAAGGGAGUCACAUUCAGUAAGUGUCUGUAUUCCAGGCCCUAUAAGGAUGUGGAACACAUAGUAAGUGUGUUUACUUAGGGUUUGUUUGGCAUUACUGCUAUGGCUAUUGUUGGGGAAAACACUUUUUUUAAAUAUAUUAGUUAGAAAGUAUUAAAUAUUGAUGAAAAAUUAAAUUUGAUAUGUUCUAGCCAUAAUAAUACUAAAAUAACAAAAUAGUUU